GAUGAACGCUGGCGGCGUGCCUAAUACAUGCAAGUCGAGCGAACAGACGAGGAGCUUGCUCCUUUGACGUUAGCGGCGGACGGGUGAGUAACACGUGGAUAACCUACCUAUAAGACUGGGAUAACUUCGGGAAACCGGAGCUAAUACCGGAUAACAUGUUGAACCGCAUGGUUCAACAGUGAAAGACGGUUUUGCUGUCACUUAUAGAUGGAUCCGCGCCGCAUUAGCUAGUUGGUAAGGUAACGGCUUACCAAGGCAACGAUGCGUAGCCGACCUGAGAGGGUGAGCGGCCACCCUGGAACGGGGACACGGUCCAGACUCCUACGGGAGGCAGCCGUAGGGAAUCUUCCGCAAAGGGCGAAAGCCUGAAGGAGCAACGCCGCGUGAGUGAAGAAGGUCUUCGGAUCGUAAAGCUCUGUUAUUAGGGAAGAACAAAUGUGUAAGUAACUAUGCACGUCUUGACGGUACCUAAUCAGAAAGCCACGGCUAACUACGUG
Molecule: ribosomal RNA, 497 nt
Filed under: uncultured bacterium
Lineage: Bacteria
Description: partial 16S ribosomal RNA
Rfam family: Bacterial small subunit ribosomal RNA
Source: RNAcentral